This 490-nucleotide ribosomal RNA is filed under the name uncultured bacterium. RNAcentral describes it as "partial 16S ribosomal RNA". It matches the Rfam family "Bacterial small subunit ribosomal RNA", at positions 30 to 507 of the family's 1533-position model. The record is from RNAcentral.
AUUGAACGCUGGCGGCAGGCCUAACACAUGCAAGUCGAACGGUAACAGGAAGAAGCUUGCUUCUUUGCUGACGAGUGGCGGACGGGUGAGUAAUGUCUGGGAAACUGCCUGAUGGAGGGGGAUAACUACUGGAAACGGUAGCUAAUACCGCAUAACGUCGCAAGCCCAAAGAGGGGGACCUUCGGGCCUCUUGCCAUCGGAUGUGCCCAGAUGGGAUUAGCUAGUAGGUGGGGUAACGGCUCACCUAGGCGACGAUCCCUAGCUGGUCUGAGAGGAUGACCAGCCACACUGGAACUGAGACACGGUCCAGACUCCUACGGGAGGCAGCAGUGGGGAAUAUUGCACAAUGGGCGCAAGCCUGAUGCAGCCAUGCCGCGUGUAUGAAGAAGGCCUUCGGGUUGUAAAGUACUUUCAGCGGGGAGGAAGGGAGUAAAGUUAAUACCUUUGCUCAUUGACGUUACCCGAAGAAGAAGCACCGGCUAACUCCGUG